RNAcentral lists this ribosomal RNA (441 nucleotides) under Rhizobium sp. LR66. RNAcentral describes it as "bacterial SSU rRNA". It matches the Rfam family "Bacterial small subunit ribosomal RNA", at positions 81 to 557 of the family's 1533-position model. The record is from RNAcentral. Lineage: Bacteria; Pseudomonadati; Pseudomonadota; Alphaproteobacteria; Hyphomicrobiales; Rhizobiaceae.
CGCCCCGCAGGGGAGUGGCAGACGGGUGAGUAACGCGUGGGAACGUACCCUUUCCUGCGGAAUAGCUCCGGGAAACUGGAAUUAAUACCGUAUACGCCCUACGGGGGAAAGAUUUAUCGGUGAAGGAUCGGCCCGCGUUGGAUUAGCUAGUUGGUGGGGUAAAGGCCUACCAAGGCGACGAUCCAUAGCUGGUCUGAGAGGAUGAUCAGCCACAUUGGGACUGAGACACGGCCCAAACUCCUACGGGAGGCAGCAGUGGGGAAUAUUGGACAAUGGGCGCAAGCCUGAUCCAGCCAUGCCGCGUGAAUGAUGAAGGCCUUAGGGUUGUAAAGCUCUUUCACCGGAGAAGAUAAUGACGGUAUCCGGAGAAGAAGCCCCGGCUAACUUCGUGCCAGCAGCCGCGGUAAGUUCUAGGGGGCUAGCGUUGUUCGGAAUUACUGG